Strigops habroptila (Kakapo) is the source of this 451-nucleotide long non-coding RNA. RefSeq lists it as uncharacterized. The record is from RefSeq and is a predicted model, not a curated record. The transcript has 3 exons. NCBI's taxonomy places the organism in Eukaryota, Metazoa, Chordata, Aves, Psittaciformes, Psittacidae.
GGAUUUUAGGGAAUUACUUCUGCUCCAAAGCAUGUAGGUAUAUCUGCUUUUAGAACUUGUGGAGAGGAGAAUACAUGGGAAAUGCUGUAAUCAUCUUUUGGGUGCUGGUUGGCCUGUUUAGUAGGUAGAUGAGCACAUAAGAGUUUUGACAGAUGCUGCCAUAUUAAAAAUCCAUUCUUUAAAAUGCCAUUAAAAUUAUUACUUCAAACAUGAAGCUGUUGAAGCUGUAUCAGUGGAUUAACUUUUCAUGGGGCUAAGCUACUUAAUGGUUUGUUUGUUACUUACCUUGGCUAUUGAAAAUACUUCAGGGUUUGGGGUUUUGUUAGGGAGAACUAAUGAGGCUGAUCCAUUCCUUUUGGAUCUUUAGCUGCUCUCAUUCUGGGGGUUCUGCACUAGAAACUUCAAUUACAAUGAAGGUGUUGAUGAGAUUUCUGCUUUUCCCACCUCUCUU